GAGGGUAUAGCUCAGUGGUAGAGCACGUGCAUGCGUGAGGUCCUGGGUUCAAUCCCUAGUACCUCCA
Molecule: transfer RNA, 67 nt
Filed under: Camelus bactrianus (Bactrian camel)
Lineage: Eukaryota; Metazoa; Chordata; Mammalia; Artiodactyla; Camelidae
Also listed under: 2 other names
Rfam family: tRNA
About the family: Transfer RNA (tRNA) molecules are approximately 80 nucleotides in length. Their secondary structure includes four short double-helical elements and three loops (D, anti-codon, and T loops). Further hydrogen bonds mediate the characteristic L-shaped molecular structure. tRNAs have two regions of fundamental functional importance: the anti-codon, which is responsible for specific mRNA codon recognition, and the 3' end, to which the tRNAs corresponding amino acid is attached (by aminoacyl-tRNA synthetases). tRNAs cope with the degeneracy of the genetic code in two manners: having more than one tRNA (with a specific anti-codon) for a particular amino acid; and 'wobble' base-pairing, i.e. permitting non-standard base-pairing at the 3rd anti-codon position.
Source: Rfam by way of RNAcentral